This 254-nucleotide ribosomal RNA is filed under the name uncultured bacterium. Its description in RNAcentral is "partial 16S ribosomal RNA". It matches the Rfam family "Bacterial small subunit ribosomal RNA", at positions 524 to 776 of the family's 1533-position model. The record is from RNAcentral.
UACGGGUGGGGCGAGCGUUGUUCGGAAUCACUGGGCGUAAAGGGCGCGUAGGCGGCCCGCACAAGUCUGCGGUGAAAACCCCCGGCUUAACCGGGGGCCGGCCGUGGAAACUGUCGGGCUGGAGGCUGGGAGAGUGCAGCGGAAUUCCCGGUGUAGCGGUGAAAUGCGUAGAGAUCGGGAGGAACACCGGCGGCGAAGGCGGCUGCCUGGACCAGUCCUGACGCUGAGACGCGAAAGCGUGGGGAGCAAACAGG